Neogale vison (American mink) is the source of this 371-nucleotide long non-coding RNA. RefSeq lists it as uncharacterized. NCBI's taxonomy places the organism in Eukaryota, Metazoa, Chordata, Mammalia, Carnivora, Mustelidae. The transcript has 3 exons. The record is from RefSeq and is a predicted model, not a curated record.
GUGAGAGAGAACACAUGGAGACUCGCUUUCCAAAGCUCAAAGCCCUUUUCUACAGUGUUAUUUACAAACCAAACAAGCUUGAAGAUAGAUGACUUCCUACUGUCCGGCUCACAGGAAAGAAGCAUUUCGUUCAGGGCCACUCUAGCAAUACGACAAAAUGGUGGAAGAGGCGUGGGAGGAAAUGAGAAGACAUGUUCUGAAGAGCUGGAAAGAGUUGGAAGAGUGAAGGAAAGGACAAGUCAAAUGGAUAUCUGUAUGAAAAUAUGUGUGAGACCACUAUCUUGAGAAGAUGCAAAGGGUCACUGACAUCACUCCUAAAAAUAGGGACUGCUGCCGGGAACUGGAUGCGACAACUCUUAUAUAUUUAAUAA